Schistosoma mansoni is the source of this 46-nucleotide non-coding RNA. The record is from Rfam. NCBI's taxonomy places the organism in Eukaryota, Metazoa, Platyhelminthes, Trematoda, Strigeidida, Schistosomatidae.
GCACUGCUGAAGAGCCCCACAAUAGGACGAAACAGCUGUCCAGUGC